Molecule: small nuclear RNA, 111 nt
Organism: Erinaceus europaeus (western European hedgehog)
Lineage: Eukaryota; Metazoa; Chordata; Mammalia; Eulipotyphla; Erinaceidae
Source: Ensembl
CUACUCACUUUUGUAGCACAUAUACUAAAAUUGGAAUGCUGCAGGGAAGACUGACUAACAUGGCCUCCACACAAGGAUGACAUACAAACUUGUGAAGUGCUCCAUAUUAAA